RNAcentral lists this small RNA (111 nucleotides) under Croceitalea dokdonensis DOKDO 023. Its description in RNAcentral is "6S-Flavo RNA". It matches the Rfam family "6S-Flavo RNA". Lineage: Bacteria; Pseudomonadati; Bacteroidota; Flavobacteriia; Flavobacteriales; Flavobacteriaceae. The record is from Rfam by way of RNAcentral.
ACUCAACGUUAUUACAUUUAAAAAGGGUGAGUUUAAGUUGUGAAAGCGGGCCCUACUCGUAUAGGGAUUAUUGAGCAGCUUGUUAGCCCUAAACCUGUUAUUUAGGAGUUU